CUCUUCUUGAAUAUAUUUUGAUGUAUGGCCUGCCCACUGAAUAUUGAAGGGCCGCGGUAUUUUGACCGUGCAAAGGUAGCAUAAUCAUUAGUCUUUUAAUUGUAGGCUGGAAUGAAUGGUUUGACGAGGUGUUAACUGUCUUUAUUUUUUUUUUGAACUUAAAUUUUAGGUUAAAAUGCCUAAAUGUUUUUUUGGGACGAGAAGACCCUAUAGAGUUUUAUAUAUUUUUAUUUUUUUUGUAUGAGAAUUUCUAAUGUAAAAAUUUAUUUUGUUGGGGUGAUGGAAAGAUUUAAUUAACUCUUUUUAUUUAUUUUAUAUUUAUUUAUAUGUAUUUGAUCCAUUUAUAUUGAUUAUAAGACUAAAUUACC
RNAcentral lists this ribosomal RNA (368 nucleotides) under Cryptocercus relictus (relict cockroach). RNAcentral describes it as "partial 16S large subunit ribosomal RNA". Lineage: Eukaryota; Metazoa; Arthropoda; Insecta; Blattodea; Cryptocercidae. The record is from RNAcentral.